RNAcentral lists this ribosomal RNA (253 nucleotides) under uncultured bacterium. RNAcentral's name for it is "partial 16S ribosomal RNA". It matches the Rfam family "Bacterial small subunit ribosomal RNA", at positions 524 to 776 of the family's 1533-position model. The record is from RNAcentral.
UACGGAGGGCGCAAGCGUUUUUCGGCAUCACUGGGCGUAAAGCGCGGGUAGGCGGACGGGCAAGUCGGGUGUGAAAUCCCGAGGCUCAACCUCGGAACUGCACUCGAAACUGCUCGGCUCGAGUCCCGGAGAGGGUGGCGGAAUUCCCGGUGUAGGGGUGAAAUCCGUAGAUAUCGGGAGGAACACCAGUGGCGAAGGCGGCCACCUGGACGGUGACUGACGCUGAGACGCGAAAGCGUGGGGAGCAAACAGG